This 73-nucleotide transfer RNA is filed under the name uncultured phage cr116_1. RNAcentral's name for it is "crAssphage cr116_1 tRNA-Glu". It matches the Rfam family "tRNA". Rfam says of the family: Transfer RNA (tRNA) molecules are approximately 80 nucleotides in length. Lineage: Duplodnaviria; Heunggongvirae; Uroviricota; Caudoviricetes; Crassvirales; Steigviridae. The record is from RNAcentral.
GGAGCUAUCAUCUAGUGGUAAGGAUGCAAGGUUUUCAACCUUGUCACAGGGGUUCAAAUCUCCUUGGCUCUAC